GGAAUAUUGGACAAUGGGCGGAAGCCUGAUCCAGCAACGCCGCGUGAGGGAUGACGGCCUUCGGGUUGUAAACCUCUUUCAGUACCGACGAAGCGAAAGUGACGGUAGGUACAGAAGAAGCACCGGCCAACUACGUGCCAGCAGCCGCGGUAAUACGUAGGGUGCGAGCGUUGUCCGGAAUUAUUGGGCGUAAAGGGCUCGUAGGCGGUUUGUCGCGUCGGGAGUGAAAACACUGGGCUUAACUCAGUGCUUGCUUUCGAUACGGGCAGACUAGAGGUAUGCAGGGGAGAACGGAAUUCCUGGUGUAGCGGUGAAAUGCGCAGAUAUCAGGAGGAACACCGGUGGCGAAGGCGGUUCUCUGGGCAUUACCUGACGCUGAGGAGCGAAAGUGUGGGGAGCGAACAGGAUUAGAUACCCUUG
This 420-nucleotide ribosomal RNA is filed under the name uncultured Nocardioides sp. RNAcentral's name for it is "bacterial SSU rRNA". It matches the Rfam family "Bacterial small subunit ribosomal RNA", at positions 358 to 790 of the family's 1533-position model. The record is from RNAcentral. Lineage: Bacteria; Bacillati; Actinomycetota; Actinomycetes; Propionibacteriales; Nocardioidaceae.